GUUGGUGGCCGCCUGCACCUGCCGCCUGUCCCCAGCCCCAGAGUCCUCUCCUGGCCCGGGGAGCCUAGGUGGCACGCGCGGCCAUCUCCCGCCGUCGCCUAGGGCGGCCUAAGGACCCUGCCUGCGCCCGGGCGCCAGACCAUGGUGGGCAGCUGCGACCCAGAGCCACAGCCACCGCGAGCCGACGUCGCCCUCCACCAGCCCCCGCCCCACCCGAGCGGACGCGCGGGGGCUCGCAGCGCUCGGUCACUUCCUUCCACGGCUGGGAUGGGCGGCGCGGGACCGAGCGAGCGGCCCAGCGGCGGCCGGGUAACCCCUAUCUGAGCUGCGGCCGGGAGCUGCCGACCGCCGGGGCGUGAGAGCCUGGGGUCCCGGAGGCGCAGCGAUGACCUGAUCCCAAGCCCGCCAGGGCGCCCGUCCCUCGCAGCCCAGCUCGCUUGGAGCCUGUGCGGAGACCGGCUCGGUGCGGCGGCUCGGGCGCACGGUGGCGGGGAGCUCCGGUGAAAGGCGUGUGGGCGCCGAGGACACCUUCGGCAGCUCUGCCUUUGGAGGGGCUUCUGUAAACUACUGAGUCAUUCCAGAUUUAGGAUUUCCUAAAUAAUCACCAACUGUGCCCGUCUCGUGCCGGAACGCAGGCAGUGAGAGCGGGAGAGCCCGCUUUCCGGACCCCGCCGAUCCCCGGGGUGCUUGGCCCUCGAGGAUCUCCCUCCCUCCCGUUGUCCCUCCCCCUCCCUCGUCUCCCGCUCUCUUUGCAGUGCUGCCGGAGGAGAGGCGCGCUCACCGCAGCUGGAAACAGCUGCCACCCCUCUCCAACCCCCCGCCCUGCUCCCCUACCCCGUGUCUGGUUAAUCGCUCCCACUUUUCGCCUCUUGGAAUUCCAGAAGUGGGGAGGCCGGCCCCCGGAGAACCGCAGCCGGGGCGAUGCAUUUCGUAGACCUCACCCAGCCGGGACGGACCUCCUAAUCUUCAGAACCGCGGGCCACAGGGAGUUAAAUUGCUGCCUUCCUCUUCUCUGUCGCGG
RNAcentral lists this long non-coding RNA (1021 nucleotides) under Rattus norvegicus (Norway rat). Its description in RNAcentral is "long non-coding RNA NONRATT006673". Lineage: Eukaryota; Metazoa; Chordata; Mammalia; Rodentia; Muridae. The record is from RNAcentral.